AACGGACUGUUCAAUUUAUUGUUCAGUUAGCUGGCGAAAGGGUUAGUAACGGGUAGGUAACGUACCCUGUGCUUUGGGAUAGCGUCAGUUGCUUCGGCAACUUUCCGAAAGGGGCGGUAAUACCAAAUAAUAUCAUUUGUCGAUAGGCGAAUGAUCAAAGAUUUAUCGGCACGGGAGCGGCCUGCCUCCUAUCAGCUUGUUGGUGAGGUAAUGGCUCACUAAGGCAGCGACGGGUAGCGGGACUGAGAGGUUGGCCCGCAACAUCGGGACUGAGACACUGCCCGGACCUCCACGGAGGGCUGCAGUAACGGAUAUUGCGCAAUGGGCGAAAGCCUGACGCAGCGACGCCGCGUGUAGGAUGAAGUCUUUCGGGAUGUAAACUACUGUCAGGGGGAAGAAAGUGCGCUUCGGCGUAUUGAUCUAACCCAGAGGAAGUCACGGCUAACUUCGUGCCAGCAGCCGCGGUAAGACGAAGGUGGCAAGCGUUGUUCGGUAUUACUGGGCUUAAAGCGUGUGUAGGCGGAAAUGUAAGCGUUGUGUGAAAGCCCCCGGCUUAACCGGGGAACUGCACAACGAACUACAUUUCUUGAGGCAAGUAGGGGUACAUGGAACUCUUGGUGGAGCGGUGGAAUGCGUAGAUAUCAAGAGGAACGCCAGUGGAGAAAUCGGUGUACUGGGCUUGUACUGACGCUGAGACACGAAAGCGUGGGGAGCGAACGGGAUUAGAUACCCCGGUAGUCCACGCCGUAAACGAUGCCUACUAGGUUGUGGUGGUUCUGACACCAGCACAGCCGAAGCAAAAGUGUUAAGUAGGCCGCCUGGGGGA
This 826-nucleotide ribosomal RNA is filed under the name uncultured bacterium. RNAcentral's name for it is "bacterial SSU rRNA". It matches the Rfam family "Bacterial small subunit ribosomal RNA", at positions 65 to 880 of the family's 1533-position model. The record is from RNAcentral.